RNAcentral lists this ribosomal RNA (253 nucleotides) under uncultured bacterium. Its description in RNAcentral is "partial 16S ribosomal RNA". It matches the Rfam family "Bacterial small subunit ribosomal RNA", at positions 524 to 776 of the family's 1533-position model. The record is from RNAcentral.
GACGAACCUUGCUAACGUUAUUCGGAAUUACUGGGCUUAAAGGGUGCGUAGGCGGGCUGUCAAGUCUGGGGUGAAAUGCCGCGGCUCAACCGUGGAACUGCCUUAGAUACUGACGGCCUCGAGGAAGGUAGGGGCAUGCGGAACUGUAGGUGGAGCGGUGAAAUGCGUUGAUAUCUACAGGAACGCCGGUGGCGAAAGCGGCGUGCUGGACCUUUUCUGACGCUGAGGCGCGAAAGCUAGGGGAGCAAACGGG